ACUUACUAUUCAGUCAGUUAUUUCUGUCGGUUAGGUUUUUUAGAUGUUCGGCGAUAGUCAUCUAACGGACGGGUAUUGAAUUAUUCAGUCCGAAACGACGCAGAGAAUUUCGAAUGAUUGUUAAAUAUUCUGUACCGGGCGACAAGACGUCGUCGUGUUGUAAAGUCAUUAUAAUUGUGUUAUCGUGUGCCGCGCUGCAUUAUCUCCUAGUGUAAUACGAGUACAUCGGU
Non-coding RNA from Cinara cedri, 230 nucleotides. The record is from the annotation of a GenBank genome assembly. Lineage: Eukaryota; Metazoa; Arthropoda; Insecta; Hemiptera; Aphididae.